CUACGCGGCGCUGCAGUGGGGAAUAUUGCACAAUGGGCGCAAGCCUGAUGCAGCCAUGCCGCGUGUAUGAAGAAGGCCUUCGGGUUGUAAAGUACUUUCAGCGGGGAGGAAGGGAGUAAAGUUAAUACCUUUGCUCAUUGACGUUACCCGCAGAAGAAGCACCGGCUAACUCCGUGCCAGCAGCCGCGGUAAUACGGAGGGUGCAAGCGUUAAUCGGAAUUACUGGGCGUAAAGCGCACGCAGGCGGUUUGUUAAGUCAGAUGUGAAAUCCCCGGGCUCAACCUGGGAACUGCAUCUGAUACUGGCAAGCUUGAGUCUCGUAGAGGGGGGUAGAAUUCCAGGUGUAGCGGUGAAAUGCGUAGAGAUCUGGAGGAAUACCGGUGGCGAAGGCGGCCCCCUGGACGAAGACUGACGCUCAGGUGCGAAAGCGUGGGGAGCAAAUAGGAUUAGAUACCCCCGUAGUC
This 464-nucleotide ribosomal RNA is filed under the name uncultured bacterium. Its description in RNAcentral is "partial 16S ribosomal RNA". It matches the Rfam family "Bacterial small subunit ribosomal RNA", at positions 339 to 795 of the family's 1533-position model. The record is from RNAcentral.